AUUAAAGAGUUCUAUAACUCCCAAACCCAUGUGAACAUACCUAACGUUGCCUCGGCAGGUCGCACCUACCUUGUAGCACCCUACCCUGUAGGGCCUACCCGGGAGAUGCGGGUAAGCCUGCCGGCGGCCCACCAAACUCUGUUUGAUAUUGAAUUCUGAACAUAUAACUAAAUAAGUUAAAACUUUCAACAACGGAUCUCUUGGUUCUGGCAUCGAUGAAGAACGCAGCGAAAUGCGAUAAGUAAUGUGAAUUGCAGAAUUCAGUGAAUCAUCGAAUCUUUGAACGCAUAUUGCGCCCAUUAGUAUUCUAGUGGGCAGGACCGUUCGAGCGUCAUUUCGACCCUUAAGCCUUAGUUGCUUAGUGUUGGGAGCCUACGGCAACGUAGCUCCUCAAAGUUAGUGGCGGAGUUGGUUCACACUCUAGACGUAGUAAUUUUUUAUCUCGCCUAUUAGUUGGACUGAUCCCCUGCCGUAAAACCCCCAACUUAUCAAGGUUGACCUCGAAUCGGUUCAGACAAACUCGCUAAAUUGAAGCAUCUUAGUCAGCGAAGGAAAAGAAACCAACAGGGAUUGCCCUAGUAACGGCGAGUGAAGCGGCAACAGCUCAAAUUUGAAAUCUGGCCCUCGGGUCCGAGU
Molecule: ribosomal RNA, 636 nt
Filed under: fungal endophyte
Lineage: Eukaryota; Fungi
Description: eukaryotic LSU rRNA
Rfam family: 5.8S ribosomal RNA (bases 181-334)
Source: RNAcentral